RNAcentral lists this ribosomal RNA (511 nucleotides) under Angustonicus koghensis. RNAcentral describes it as "partial 16S ribosomal RNA". It matches the Rfam family "Bacterial large subunit ribosomal RNA", at positions 1831 to 2600 of the family's 2925-position model. The record is from RNAcentral. Lineage: Eukaryota; Metazoa; Arthropoda; Insecta; Blattodea; Blattidae.
CUCUUCUUGUUUUUAUUUUGAAGUAUAACCUGCCCACUGAUUAAUUUUAAAGGGCCGCGGUAUUUUGACCGUGCAAAGGUAGCAUAAUCAUUAGUCUUUUAAUUGAAGACUAGAAUGAAUGGUUGGACGAGGAAUACACUGUUUCUUAAUAAUAUAUUUUGAAUUUAAGUUUUAAGUUAAAAUGCUUAAAUUUUUUUAUGGGACGAGAAGACCCUAUAGAGUUUAAUAAAUUUUAUAAUUGUUUUGUUUGUUAAAGGUAUUUAUUAUAGAAUUUAUUUUGUUGGGGUGAUGAAAAUGAAUUAAUAAACUCUUUUUUUUAUUUAUAUAUUUAUUUAUAAUAAUUUGAUCCAUUCUUGUUGAUUAUAAGACUAAAUUACCUUAGGGAUAACAGCGUAAUCUUUUUUGAGAGUUCUUAUUGAUAAAAGGGUUUGCGACCUCGAUGUUGGAUUAAGAUUUAAUUUGGGUGUAGCCUUUCAAUUGUUUAGGUCUGUUCGACCUUUAAAAUCUUACA